GACACUAUAGCCAAGUGGUUAAGGCGACAGAUUAGAAUUGCAUUUGUCAUAUAUCUGUUUCCCUCUGGGAGCGCAGGUUCGAACCCUGCUGGUGUCG
This is a non-coding RNA of Trametes coccinea BRFM310, 97 nucleotides long. Lineage: Eukaryota; Fungi; Basidiomycota; Agaricomycetes; Polyporales; Polyporaceae. The record is from the annotation of a GenBank genome assembly.